This 428-nucleotide ribosomal RNA is filed under the name uncultured Anoxybacillus sp. RNAcentral describes it as "bacterial SSU rRNA". It matches the Rfam family "Bacterial small subunit ribosomal RNA", at positions 958 to 1382 of the family's 1533-position model. The record is from RNAcentral. Lineage: Bacteria; Bacillati; Bacillota; Bacilli; Caryophanales; Anoxybacillaceae.
AACGCGAAGAACCUUACCAGGUCUUGACAUCCCUGACAACCCGAGAGAUCGGGCGUUCCCCCUUCGGGGGGUACAGGGUGACAGGUGGUGCAUGGUUGUCGUCAGCUCGUGUCGUGAGAUGUUGGGUUAAGUCCCGCAACGAGCGCAACCCUCGACCUUAGUUGCCAGCAUUCAGUUGGGCACUCUAAGGUGACUGACCGGCUAAAAGUCGGAGGAAGGUGGGGAUGACGUCAAAUCAUCAUGCCCCUUAUGACCUGGGCUACACACGUGCUACAAUGGGCGGUACAAAGGGUCGCGAACCCGCGAGGGGGAGCCAAUCCCAAAAAGCCGCUCUCAGUUCGGAUUGCAGGCUGCAACUCGCCUGCAUGAAGCCGGAAUCGCUAGUAAUCGCGGAUCAGCAUGCCGCGGUGAAUACGUUCCCGGGCCUU